This 1392-nucleotide ribosomal RNA is filed under the name Lactiplantibacillus plantarum. Its description in RNAcentral is "bacterial SSU rRNA". It matches the Rfam family "Bacterial small subunit ribosomal RNA", at positions 70 to 1427 of the family's 1533-position model. The record is from RNAcentral. Lineage: Bacteria; Bacillati; Bacillota; Bacilli; Lactobacillales; Lactobacillaceae.
CUCUGGUAUUGAUUGGUGCUUGCAUCAUGAUUUACAUUUGAGUGAGUGGCGAACUGGUGAGUAACACGUGGGAAACCUGCCCAGAAGCGGGGGAUAACACCUGGAAACAGAUGCUAAUACCGCAUAACAACUUGGACCGCAUGGUCCGAGUUUGAAAGAUGGCUUCGGCUAUCACUUUUGGAUGGUCCCGCGGCGUAUUAGCUAGAUGGUGAGGUAACGGCUCACCAUGGCAAUGAUACGUAGCCGACCUGAUAGGGUAAUCGGCCACAUUGGGACUGAGACACGGCCCAAACUCCUACGGGAGGCAGCAGUAGGGAAUCUUCCACAAUGGACGAAAGUCUGAUGGAGCAACGCCGCGUGAGUGAAGAAGGGUUUCGGCUCGUAAAACUCUGUUGUUAANGAAGAACAUAUCUGAGAGUAACUGUUCCGGUAUUGACGGUAUUUAACCAGAAAGCCACGGCUAACUACGUGCCAGCAGCCGCGGUAAUACGUAGGUGGCAAGCGUUGUCCUGAUUUAUUGGGCGUAAAGCGAGCGCAGGCGGUUUUUUAAGUCUGAUGUGAAAGCCUUCGGCUCAACCGAAGUAGUGCAUCGGAAACUGGGAAACUUGAGUGCAGAAGAGGACAGUGGAACUCCAUGUGUAGCGGUGAAAUGCGUAUAUAUAUGGAAGAACACCAUUGGCUAAGGCGGCUGUCUGGUCUGUAACUGACGCUGAGGCUCGAAAGUAUGGGUAGCAAACAGGAUUAGAUAACCCUGGUAGUCCAUACCGUAAACGAUGAAUGCUAAGUGUUGGAGGGUUUCCGCCCUUCAGUGCUGCAGCUAACGCAUUAAGCAUUCCGCCUNGGGGAGUACGGCCGCAAGGCUGAAACUCAAAGGAAUUGACGGGGGCCCGCACAAGCGGUGGAGCAUGUGGUUUAAUUCGAAGCUACGCGAAGAACCUUACCAGGUCUUGACAUACUAUGCAAAUCUAAGAGAUUAGACGUUCCCUUCGGGGACAUGGAUACAGGUGGUGCAUGGUUGUCGUCAGCUCGUGUCGUGAGAUGUUGGGUUAAGUCCCGCAACGAGCGCAACCCUUAUUAUCAGUUGCCAGCAUUAAGUUGGGCACUCUGGUGAGACUGCCGGUGACAAACCGGAGGAAGGUGGGGAUGACGUCAAAUCAUCAUGCCCCUUAUGGCCUGGGCUACACACGUGCUACAAUGGAUGGUACAACGAGUUGCGAACUCGCGAGAGUAAGCUAAUCUCUUAAAGCCAUUAUCAGUUCGGAUUGUAGGCUGCAAUUCGCCUACAUGAAGUCGGAAUCGCUAGUAAUCGCGGAUCAGCAUGCCGCGGUGAAUACGUUCCCGGGCCUUGUACACACCGCCCGUCACACCAUGAGAGUUUGUAACACCCAAAGU